RNAcentral lists this ribosomal RNA (468 nucleotides) under uncultured bacterium. RNAcentral describes it as "partial 16S ribosomal RNA". It matches the Rfam family "Bacterial small subunit ribosomal RNA", at positions 28 to 507 of the family's 1533-position model. The record is from RNAcentral.
GACGAACGCUGGCGGCGUGCUUAACACAUGCAAGUCGAACGGAAAGGCCCUGCUUUUGUGGGGUGCUCGAGUGGCGAACGGGUGAGUAACACGUGAGUAACCUGCCCUUGACUUUGGGAUAACUUCAGGAAACUGGGGCUAAUACCGGAUAGGAGCUCCUGCUGCAUGGUGGGGGUUGGAAAGUUUCGGCGGUUGGGGAUGGACUCGCGGCUUAUCAGCUUGUUGGUGGGGUAGUGGCUUACCAAGGCUUUGACGGGUAGCCGGCCUGAGAGGGUGACCGGCCACAUUGGGACUGAGAUACGGCCCAGACUCCUACGUGAGGCAGCAGUGGGGAAUAUUGCACAAUGGGCGGAAGCCUGAUGCAGCAACGCCGCGUUCGUGAUGACGGCCUUCGUGUUGUAAACCGCUUUCGCCUGUUACGAAGCGUGAGUGACGGUAAUGGGUAAAGAAGCACCGGCUAACUACGUG